Molecule: ribosomal RNA, 112 nt
Filed under: Micromonospora carbonacea
Lineage: Bacteria; Bacillati; Actinomycetota; Actinomycetes; Micromonosporales; Micromonosporaceae
Description: 16S rRNA. Bacterial SSU
Rfam family: Bacterial small subunit ribosomal RNA
Source: RNAcentral
UUUUGUUGGAGAGUUUGAUCCUGGCUCAGGACGAACGCUGGCGGCGUGCUUAACACAUGCAAGUCGAGCGGAAAGGCCCUUCGGGGUACUCGAGCGGCGAACGGGUGAGUAA